GGAGCCCACCACAGGCAGAGGCAUGCUCC
Molecule: non-coding RNA, 29 nt
Filed under: Mus musculus (house mouse)
Lineage: Eukaryota; Metazoa; Chordata; Mammalia; Rodentia; Muridae
Source: RNAcentral